CACAGUGUAGCUUAAUUUAAAGCCUCUGGCCUACACCCAGAAGAUUCCAUAAAUGGACACUUUGA
This 65-nucleotide transfer RNA is filed under the name Myospalax psilurus. RNAcentral's name for it is "tRNA-Val". Lineage: Eukaryota; Metazoa; Chordata; Mammalia; Rodentia; Spalacidae. The record is from RNAcentral.